This 70-nucleotide transfer RNA is filed under the name Erica carnea. RNAcentral's name for it is "tRNA-Phe". It matches the Rfam family "tRNA". From Rfam's summary of the family: Transfer RNA (tRNA) molecules are approximately 80 nucleotides in length. Their secondary structure includes four short double-helical elements and three loops (D, anti-codon, and T loops). Lineage: Eukaryota; Viridiplantae; Streptophyta; Magnoliopsida; Ericales; Ericaceae. RNAcentral also lists the same sequence under 6 other names. The record is from RNAcentral.
UCAGGAUAGCUCAGUCCGGCAGAGCAGAGGACUGAAAAUUCUCGUGUCGCCAGUUCAAAUCUGGUUCCUG